GACGAACGCUGGCGGCGUGCUUAACACAUGCAAGUCGAACGGAAAGGCCCUGCUUUUGUGGGGUGCUCGAGUGGCGAACGGGUGAGUAACACGUGAGUAACCUGCCCUUGACUUUGGGAUAACUUCAGGAAACUGGGGCUAAUACCGGAUAGGAGCUCCUGCUGCAUGGUGGGGGUUGGAAAGUUUCGGCGGUUGGGGAUGGACUGGCGGCUUAUCAGCUUGUUGGUGGGGUAGUGGCUUACCAAGGCUUUGACGGGUAGCCGGCCUGAGAGGGUGACCGGCCAAAUUGGGACUGAGAUGCGGCACAGACUCCUACGGGAGGCAGCAGUGGGGAAUAUUGCACAAUGGGAGGAAGCCUGAUGCAGCAACGCCGCGUGCGGGAUGACGGCCUUCGGGCUGUAAACCGCUUUCGCCUGUGACGAAGCGUGAGUGACGGUAAUGGGUAAAGAAGCACCGGCUAACUACGUG
This 468-nucleotide ribosomal RNA is filed under the name uncultured bacterium. RNAcentral describes it as "partial 16S ribosomal RNA". It matches the Rfam family "Bacterial small subunit ribosomal RNA", at positions 28 to 507 of the family's 1533-position model. The record is from RNAcentral.